GACGAACGCUGGCGGCGUGCUUAACACAUGCAAGUCGAACGGAAAGGCCCUGCUUUUGUGGGGUGCUCGAGUGGCGACCGGGUGAGUAACACGUGAGUAACCUGCCCUUGACUUUGGGAUAACUUCAGGAAACUGGGGCUAAUACCGGAUAGGAUCUCCUGCUGCAUGGUGGGGGUUGGAAAGUUUCGGCGGUUGGGGAUGGACUCGCGGCUUAUCAGCUUGUUGGUGGGGUAGUGGCUUACCAAGGCUUUGACGGGUAGCCGGCCUGGGAGGGUGACCGGCCACGUUGGGACUGAGAUACGGCCCAGACUCGUACGGGAGGCAGCAGUGGAGAAUAUUGCACAAUGGGCGGAAGCCUGAUGCAGCAACGCCGCGUGCGGGAUGACGGCCUUCGGGUUGUAAACCGCUUUCGCCUGUGACGAGGCGUGAGUGACGGUAAUGGGUAAAGAAGCACCGGCUAACUACGUG
Molecule: ribosomal RNA, 468 nt
Filed under: uncultured bacterium
Lineage: Bacteria
Description: partial 16S ribosomal RNA
Rfam family: Bacterial small subunit ribosomal RNA
Source: RNAcentral